This 253-nucleotide ribosomal RNA is filed under the name uncultured bacterium. Its description in RNAcentral is "partial 16S ribosomal RNA". It matches the Rfam family "Bacterial small subunit ribosomal RNA", at positions 524 to 776 of the family's 1533-position model. The record is from RNAcentral.
UACGUAGGGGGCGAGCGUUGUCCGGAAUUACUGGGCGUAAAGCGUGCGCAGGCGGUUUUGUAAGACUGUCGUGAAAUCCCCGGGCUUAACCUGGGAAUGGCGAUGGUGACUGCAAGGCUAGAGUUUGGCAGAGGGGGGUAGAAUUCCACGUGUAGCAGUGAAAUGCGUAGAGAUGUGGAGGAACACCGAUGGCGAAGGCGGCAUCCUGGACCGGUAUUGACGCUGAUGCGCGAAAGCCAGGGGAGCAAACGGG